ACUUGAUCACUUGGAAGGCUGGUAUGUGGAAAGGUUGGAUGAAAAAAGACGUUCACGACCAGAACACUUUCCAAAAUAUAUCAAUAUACAUCAUGCAGUCCGCUAUCGGCAAGAAGCAGCAUCCAGAUAAAGAUCAAACAAGCCUUUGGACUUAAAGCUGGUGGAUAUUAUGUAAAUAUGUUAGCCAGAGUCCUUAAGGGAGUUGCAAGCAUGCAUUUUCCUGAGUUACCUCAACAAUGGGCAGGAGAAGAAAAAUUUCUAACAAGCCAACUUGAUUUUACAAGUCUACAGAGAUCACCAUGGUGGACUGAUCCAUCUGUGGUGUUACACCCUUAUCUUGAUCAUCAUAGUGUGCUUUUAAUUCAAAUAUUUGGCCUGAAUGCUAUUUAUGUUCCGGAUCCAAGUGGACAGAGACCAGGAAAAGUAAUAUCUCACCCUGGUCAGACCCUGGAGCUUAAUACACAAUCACGGUUAGGCUGGACUGCUGUUCCACUCUUUGACAGUGACUAUGUGAAGAGUGGUGUGCACAGUGGUCCGUUGUUUCGGGGUUCUCCAAGUGCAGAAUUUCUCCAGUCUGUAAUCUCUCUGCCAGUGAAAGAUGUUAUGGCUGAAGGUAUAAAGAAAAAGACAUUAAAACUUUUGCCAACUUUUGGCAGUGUUACUCUUGAGUUUUGGGAUGGUCAUUACUUUGAAGAGGAGCAUUAUCAGCUACCUGUUCUAAACAACCUUCUAACUGUUGCCAACACAAAGAAAUUUGUGGACACUCAAGCAAACAAGAGAGGCCAGGAGCUGUCACAGCUAGUUCUGCACAGUAUGGAUAAAAAAAUAAGAAAAUUGGGACGACAUAGCCCUGAAUAUUAUCAACAAGAGUAUUUCUACAAAGAAGCAAUGGGAAACGCUUUUUACAGUCUUGUGGAAACAGUCCUCUUGAAUGCAGGUUAUGGUCAUCUAUGAGCUUUCCCUUCAAAGGUGAAGAAUAUUGGGUAUCAGAAUGAUCAAAUUCUUGAACUGGAUCAAACAUAUUUUCAAGCUCUACCUAAAACUAAAUAACAAUAUCUUUGGAGAGCAUCAGCCUGGAGCCUUGCUUCCUAUAAUCAUUGAAGGGCUGAAGGUAUCCCCUAACUCCCCCUUCCAGCUUAUUGACUCACUUUGUCAGUAGUUUGUGUGUUAUGAGAAGAUAUCAUUCUUUAGACUCAGAACAGGGAAAGGAACAUUGUUUGCACUGAGAGAAUCAUAGAGAUGACAGUUCUUUUUUUCUAAAGCAUUCAGUGUGUAAUUGCUGAAGACAUUCCAAGCCAUUCUAAUGAAGUGUACUGUCUGCCAGUCUGUGUGCUCUUCCUAGAGAACCAUCUGUUACACCUCAAAUAUCUAAAGGUCUGCCAUCAUUUAUUGCACCAAACAAAUCAGUUUCUUUGUCUGACAUGCAGUAACUUGUGAAUGUGGCCUCCUAGAAGGUAGUUUGUUACCAUGCAAAGCACAGGAUCUUCUGUAUGUUGUUGCCAUAUAAAAAUGUUUUUUCAUGACUCAUCAUAGCAAAUUUCUGAUAUCAGACCUACUGAUUAGAUUUUUAAUUUACUUGAUAACAUAUAUAAAUACUAAAAAAUCCUGAAUGAUUUUUCUCUUUACUCAAUCAUUGUUACAUCAUACGCUUUUUCUUUUGGUAAACCAAACCUUUCUUUGUAAUGCUCUGUAGGUCUUGUGUAUAAAGGCAACCUGGCCUUAUUGUAAUUUGAUUUACUGUUCCUUUAAUUAGAUUAUUUGUAGCUGAAACAAAGCUUUGUUAGCCAAUAACCUAACAAAUCUUGCUGUGUCAUGUUGCUGCAAAUAAAGAUAUUUCAAAUUA
Molecule: RNA transcript, 1843 nt
Organism: Gopherus flavomarginatus (Mexican gopher tortoise)
Lineage: Eukaryota; Metazoa; Chordata; Testudines; Testudinidae
Exons: 8
Source: RefSeq, a predicted model, not a curated record